RNAcentral lists this transfer RNA (72 nucleotides) under Camelus bactrianus (Bactrian camel). It matches the Rfam family "tRNA". Rfam says of the family: Transfer RNA (tRNA) molecules are approximately 80 nucleotides in length. Their secondary structure includes four short double-helical elements and three loops (D, anti-codon, and T loops). RNAcentral also lists the same sequence under 2 other names. Lineage: Eukaryota; Metazoa; Chordata; Mammalia; Artiodactyla; Camelidae. The record is from Rfam by way of RNAcentral.
GAGAGUGUAGCUCAGUGGUAGAGUGCAUGCUUAGCAUGCAUGAGGCCCUGGGUUCAAUUCCCAGGACCUCCA